CGAGAGUGACUUCGGUCACGAGUAGAGUGGCGCACGGGUGCGUAACACGUAGCUAAUGUCCCUCCUCGCUGGGGAUAACUUCGGGAAACCGAAGCUAAUACCGAAUGAUCUGUUGUGGUCUGCGGACUACACCGGUAAAGCCUUCGGGCGCGAGGAGAUCAGGCUGCGUCCCAUUAGCUAGUUGGCGGGGUAAUGGCCCACCAAGGCUACGAUGGGUAGCUGGUCUGAGAGGAUGAUCAGCCACACUGGAACUGAAACACGGUCCAGACUCCCACGGGAGGCAGCAGUUGGGAAUAUUGGACAAUGGGGGCAACCCUGAUCCAGCAAUGCCGCGUGAGUGAUGAAGGCUCUCGGGUCGUAAAGCUCUUUAAGCAGGGAAAAAGGGAAACUUGAUGGUACCUGCAGAAUAAGCACCGGCUAACUCUGUGCCAGCAGCCGCGGUAAUACAGAGGGUGCAAGCGUUGUUCGGAAUCAUUGGGCGUAAAGCGCGUGUAGGCGGUCUUCUAAGUCUGGUGUGAAAGCCCAGGGCUUAACCCUGGAAGUGCACUGGAUACUGGGAGACUAGAGGGCGAGAGGGGAAAGCGGAAUUCCUGGUGUAGGGGUGAAAUCCGUAGAUAUCAGGAGGAACAUCGGUGGCGAAGGCGGCUUUCUGGCUCGUUUCUGACGCUCAGACGCGAAAGCGUGGGUAGCAAACAGGAUUAGA
RNAcentral lists this ribosomal RNA (703 nucleotides) under uncultured delta proteobacterium. RNAcentral's name for it is "bacterial SSU rRNA". It matches the Rfam family "Bacterial small subunit ribosomal RNA", at positions 69 to 782 of the family's 1533-position model. The record is from RNAcentral. Lineage: Bacteria; Deltaproteobacteria.